GUACCACUGAAAGCCAAGAAUUUUUAGGGAUGGCAUUGUGGCAAAUUUAUCUUCAGUUUUAAGAUGUUGAAAAGGCUCCCAAGCACAUGGUAAAAAUACUUGGAGAAACUGUCAGCUUUGAUCACACUGGCUGUUAAAAGAAUGCAGAGGAAGAACAGAAAGCUGAUGUAACUUGACAACGAGACCAGGAGGAAG
This is a long non-coding RNA of Gymnogyps californianus (California condor), 195 nucleotides long. RefSeq lists it as uncharacterized. Lineage: Eukaryota; Metazoa; Chordata; Aves; Accipitriformes; Cathartidae. The record is from RefSeq and is a predicted model, not a curated record. The transcript has 3 exons.